RNAcentral lists this ribosomal RNA (253 nucleotides) under uncultured bacterium. Its description in RNAcentral is "partial 16S ribosomal RNA". It matches the Rfam family "Bacterial small subunit ribosomal RNA", at positions 524 to 776 of the family's 1533-position model. The record is from RNAcentral.
UACGUAGGGGGCAAGCGUUGUCCGGAUUUAUUGGGCGUAAAGAGCGUGUAGGCGGCCACACAGGUCUGCUGUGAAAACUCGAGGCUCAACCUCGAGCUGUCGGUGGAAACCGUGUGGCUAGAGUCCGGAAGAGGAGAGUGGAAUUCCAGGUGUAGCGGUGAAAUGCGUAGAUAUCUGGAGGAACACCGGUGGCGAAGGCGGUUGCCUGGGGCUUUGCUGACGCUGAGGCGCGAAAGCGUGGGGAGCGAUCCGG